RNAcentral lists this ribosomal RNA (496 nucleotides) under Clostridium sp. A4-95. Its description in RNAcentral is "bacterial SSU rRNA". It matches the Rfam family "Bacterial small subunit ribosomal RNA", at positions 8 to 521 of the family's 1533-position model. Lineage: Bacteria; Bacillati; Bacillota; Clostridia; Eubacteriales; Clostridiaceae. The record is from RNAcentral. RNAcentral also lists the same sequence under 2 other names.
AGAGUUUGAUCCUGGCUCAGGACGAACGCUGGCGGCGUGCCUAACACAUGCAAGUCGAGCGAUGAAGUUCCUUCGGGAACGGAUUAGCGGCGGACGGGUGAGUAACACGUGGGCAACCUGCCUUAUAGAGGGGAAUAGCCUUCCGAAAGGAAGAUUAAUACCGCAUAAGAUUGUAGCUUCGCAUGAAGUAGCAAUUAAAGGAGCAAUCCGCUAUAAGAUGGGCCCGCGGCGCAUUAGCUAGUUGGUGAGGUAACGGCUCACCAAGGCGACGAUGCGUAGCCGACCUGAGAGGGUGAUCGGCCACAUUGGGACUGAGACACGGCCCAGACUCCUACGGGAGGCAGCAGUGGGGAAUAUUGCACAAUGGGGGAAACCCUGAUGCAGCAACGCCGCGUGAGUGAUGACGGCCUUCGGGUUGUAAAGCUCUGUCUUUGGGGACGAUAAUGACGGUACCCAAGGAGGAAGCCACGGCUAACUACGUGCCAGCAGCCGCGGU